Molecule: ribosomal RNA, 253 nt
Filed under: uncultured bacterium
Lineage: Bacteria
Description: partial 16S ribosomal RNA
Rfam family: Bacterial small subunit ribosomal RNA
Source: RNAcentral
UACGAAGGGGGCUAGCGUUGCUCGGAAUCACUGGGCGUAAAGGGUGCGUAGGCGGGUCUUUAAGUCAGGGGUGAAAUCCCAGAGCUCAACUCUGGAACUGCCUUUGAUACUGGGUAUCUUGAGUAUGGAAGAGGUGAGUGGAAUUCCGAGUGUAGAGGUGAAAUUCGUAGAUAUUCGGAGGAACACCAGUGGCGAAGGCGGCUCACUGGUCCAUUACUGACGCUGAGGUGCGAAAGCGUGGGGAGCAAACAGG